Molecule: ribosomal RNA, 492 nt
Filed under: uncultured bacterium
Lineage: Bacteria
Description: partial 16S ribosomal RNA
Rfam family: Bacterial small subunit ribosomal RNA
Source: RNAcentral
AGUGAACGCUGGCGGUAGGCCUAACACAUGCAAGUCGAACGGCAGCACAGUAAGAGCUUGCUCUUACGGGUGGCGAGUGGCGGACGGGUGAGGAAUACAUCGGAAUCUACUUUUUCGUGGGGGAUAACGUAGGGAAACUUACGCUAAUACCGCAUACGACCUACGGGUGAAAGCAGUGGAUCUUCGGACCUUGCGCGUUUGAAUGAGCCGAUGUCGGAUUAGCUAGUUGGCGGGGUAAAGGCCCACCAAGGCGACGAUCCGUAGCUGGUCUGAGAGGAUGAUCAGCCACACUGGAACUGAGACACGGUCCAGACUCCUACGGGAGGCAGCAGUGGGGAAUAUUGGACAAUGGGCGCAAGCCUGAUCCAGCAAUACCGCGUGGGUGAAGAAGGCCUUCGGGUUGUAAAGCCCUUUUGUUGGGAAAGAAAAGCAGCAGGUUAAUACCCCGCUGUUCUGACGGUACCCAAAGAAUAAGCACCGGCUAACUUCGUG